Long non-coding RNA from Sinocyclocheilus grahami, 117 nucleotides. RefSeq lists it as uncharacterized. The record is from RefSeq and is a predicted model, not a curated record. The transcript has 3 exons. Lineage: Eukaryota; Metazoa; Chordata; Actinopteri; Cypriniformes; Cyprinidae.
GAAGAGUUAAUUUGCAAAAGCCUCUAAGUGCCAUCUGAAAUUUUCAUCUGAAAUGAGCAUCUUUAUCAGGCUCCUAUCUUUAUGUUCAUAUUUAAACCUACACACACACACACACAC